GUUAAACCCAGAUAUGACUGAGGAUGGGAGAAAGGACACUAGAAAUCAGAAGUAUAAAUGCAACUGUGGAGGCUGGGAAGUGUCCAUGGGUUGAUCCCUUUGUGAAUUACAUGGAGCUGACCGGGCUGAAACCCUCAGUGACCCAGAUGAGGAUUGAAGCUUGUGCUGAAAGAGUGGCUGCCCCCCCAAACAUGACAAGGCCUGAGAUGUCAUAAGGACUCUAUAUGCCUCAGCAGUUUGGACUACACCACCAGAGUGCACAGCCAUUCCACAUUCAUUUCUCUUGCAUCUCCAGCACCAUGAAACUGAUAAACCCCAGCUGCUGGUUUUCCUUGAGAAGCUUUCCACAGCAACCCCACAGUAAGAUGUUAAUACGACUUCAUCAUGUAGGGGGCAUGUGUUUUAGAGUUCUUGUUCACCUGAUGCAAAGAACUGACUUACUGGAAAAGACCCUGAUGCUGGGAAGGAUUGAAGGCAAAAGGAAACGGGAGCAGCAGAUGAUGAGAUGGUUAGAUAGCACCAUCGACUCAACGGACAUGAAUUUGAGCAAGCUCUGAGAGAUCGUGGAGGACAGAGGAGCCUGGCGUGCUGCAGUCCAUGGCGUCGCAAAGAAUGGGAUAGGAAUUGUCCCACUUAGCAGUGCUAAGUUUGGGGGAUACAGAGAUGAACAAGACAUGCCGUACCAUGAAGAACUUGUAAGGGGAGAGGAAGACAAGUAAGUGAACAAAGACAAAGUGAGUGUGACAUUUAAGAAUUAAAAAACUGUGAAUGUAAGGAGGAGGAAGACAGUGAUAUUGAGUUAAAACAUCAAGCAGAGACAGCAGCAAGCUGGGCCUUGGAAAAUGAGUAGAAAUUUCCCCACUAAAAAUGGGAUAGUGGGAAGGGUAGUUUUCCAAAAACAGGGAAAAGUAUGAGCAAAGGCACAAGUUGUAAUUGCACAGCUUAUUUCAUUCAUCUCUUCACCUAGUUGGAGCUCAUAAAUUGCUCUAACCUCAGAGAAGAGGGAGUAAUAUGGUGUACUAAUAGCACUGUAUGAAGGAGGCAG
RNAcentral lists this long non-coding RNA (1045 nucleotides) under Bos indicus x Bos taurus (hybrid cattle). RNAcentral describes it as "lncRNA (ENSBIXG00005010738.1)". Lineage: Eukaryota; Metazoa; Chordata; Mammalia; Artiodactyla; Bovidae. The record is from RNAcentral.